This 1128-nucleotide long non-coding RNA is filed under the name Bos indicus x Bos taurus (hybrid cattle). Its description in RNAcentral is "lncRNA (ENSBIXG00005014017.1)". Lineage: Eukaryota; Metazoa; Chordata; Mammalia; Artiodactyla; Bovidae. The record is from RNAcentral.
AUGAAUGUGCCCCUUCUCCCAUCUGACGCUGUUUUUGCUUCCCCCUUCUAUCCCCAGAUGCAACAAUUCUCGACUGUUUGGAGUUCCUCCGUCCAGUGCUCUGUGUUGGACCCUAAGUGCACACCACUGAAUGUGAAACAUUGUUCUGCAACUUGCUUUCUUCUCUUUCCAUAUCUUGGAGGAAAGCGAGACCUCCAUGAAAUAGCAGGCAUAUACUUACUUUGGAAAUAUGCAGCAUCUUGUAAGUAGCAUAUUCAAAAGCAGACAUUACUUUGCCAACAAAGGUCUGUCUAGUCAAGGCUACGGUUUUUCCUGUGGUCAUGUAUGGAUGUGAGAGUUGGACUGUGAAGAAGGCUGAGUGCUGAAGAAUUGAUGCAUUUGAACUGUGGUGUUGGAGAAGACUCUUGAGAGUCCCUUGGACUGCAAGGAGAUCCAACCAGUCCAUUCUGAAGGAGAUCAGCCCUGGGAUUUCUUUGGAAGGAAAGAUGCUAAAGCUGAAACUCCAGUACUUUGGCCACCUCAUGCGAAGAGUUGACUCAUUGGAAAAGACUCUGAUGCUGGGAGGGAUUGUGGGCAGGAGGAGAAGGGGAUGACAGAGGAUGAGAUGGCUGGAUGGCAUCACUGACUCGAUGGACAUGAGUCUGAGUGAACUCCGGUAGUUGGUGAUGGACAGGGAGGCCUGGCGUGCUGCGAUUCAUGGGGUCGCAAAGAGUCGGACACGACUGAGCGACUGAACUGAACUGAACUGAACUGUAAGAGCUGGAUUAGAAUGUUAGGAAACUUGACAAUCAAAACCAUAAUGACCUCAUGAGAUAACACUUGAUCUUUGCCGCAAAGUAUAUCAACUACAUAGAUACUUCACAGAUGGAUUUUGUUCCUUUGGUUUUCAAGACCUAUAAUUUCUUGAUGUAAGUCUUGUGAGAAAUCACCUGUCUUAACAUGUUCAAAGAUUUCUAACUUGACUUAGAUGUGAUUUGGCUUGAAAUAGGAUAUGUGGUUUGUAACCAAUCCAUAACUGGAAGAAAUCUGAACAGAGACAUUGAUUCAAACAUAUCAGAAUGACCACAUAUUCACUGGUCUCACUGACUUGGGAAUAAAUUUUCUCUGUGCCAUGUAUAUUUUCUUAAC